GAUGAACGCUAGCGGCAGGCUUAAUACAUGCAAGUCGUGGGGCAGCGCAGGUAGCAAUACUGGGCGGCGACCGGCAAACGGGUGCGGAACACGUACACAACCUUCUGAGAAGUGGGGAAUAGCCCAGAGAAAUUUGGAUUAAUACCCCGUAACAUAACGAUGUGGCAUCACAUUGUUAUUAUAGCUUCGGCGCUUCUUGAUGGGUGUGCGGCUGAUUAGAUAGUUGGCGGGGUAACGGCCCACCAAGUCUACGAUCAGUAGCUGAUGUGAGAGCAUGAUCAGCCACACGGGCACUGAGACACGGGCCCGACUCCUACGGGAGGCAGCAGUAAGGAAUAUUGGUCAAUGGACGCAAGUCCGAACCAGCCAUGCCGCGUGAAGGAUUAAGGUCCUCUGGGUUGUAAACUGCUUUUGCCAGGGGAUAAAAUUUCCAUGCGUGGAAAACUGAAGGUACCUGGUGAAUAAGCCACGGCUAACUACGUGCCAGCAGCC
Molecule: ribosomal RNA, 492 nt
Filed under: uncultured bacterium
Lineage: Bacteria
Description: bacterial SSU rRNA
Rfam family: Bacterial small subunit ribosomal RNA
Source: RNAcentral